Long non-coding RNA from Sinocyclocheilus grahami, 357 nucleotides. RefSeq lists it as uncharacterized. The transcript has 3 exons. The record is from RefSeq and is a predicted model, not a curated record. Lineage: Eukaryota; Metazoa; Chordata; Actinopteri; Cypriniformes; Cyprinidae.
CCAAGACAUCUCUUUCAUCAUAUGUUUCUAAAGUUUCGUAUGAUCUGGUUUUAUGCAUAAACUAAACUGAAUGUAUUGUGUUGAUAUAUAUUGAAAGCUGUUUCCCUUCUUUCAAAAUUUUUUUUUCACUACUACAUGUCUACAUGUUCAGAAUUGGAAAUGCAGUUAUUGAUCUAUCCUGAGAUCUGUACUUCACCGGUUUACAGUCACUAACAGCUGCAGGCACAGACAGACAUGAGAUGUCUUCAUUGACAGAUGCCAGCUGGAGCUAACCCGCAACACACUACAGCCAUUUUUUUUCACCCUGGAGUGGACAUGGUCCAAUGGGCCACUCAUCUGGUGACAUGUGUCUGGAUA